GUUGAGGACCAGGUACUCUUCCAUAAUUGGGGAGGCCCAGGUGUUCUUCUGUGACCGUGGAGGCCCAGGUGUUCUUCUGUGACCGUGGAGGCCCAGGUGUUCUUCUGUGACCGUGGAGGCCCAGGUGUUCUUCUGUGACCGUGGAGGCCCAGGUGUUCUUCUGUGACAGUGGAGGCCCGGGUGUUCUUCUGUGACAGUGGAGGACCAGGUGUUCUUCUAUGACAGUGGAGGCCUGGGUGUUCUUCUGUGACAGUGGAGGCCCAGGUGUUCUUCUAUGACAGUGGAGGCCCGGGUGUUCUUCUGUGACCGUGGAGGCCCAGGUGUUCUUCUGUGACAGUGGAGGCCCGGGUGUUCUUCUGUGACGGUGGAGGCCCAGGUGUUCUUCUAUGACAGUGGAGGCCCGGGUGUUCUUCUGUGACAGUGGAGGCCCGGGUGUUCUUCUGUGACAGUGGAGGCCCGGGUGUUCUUCUGUGACGGUGGAGGCCCGGGUGUUGUUCUGUGACAGUGGAGGCCCGGGUGUUCUUCUGUGACGGUGGAGGCCCGGGUGUUCUUCUGUGACAGUGGAGGCCCGGGUGUUCUUCUGUGAUGGUGGAGGCCCGGGUGUUCUUCUGUGACAGUGGAGGCCCGGGUGUUCUGUGACAGUGGAGGCCCGGGUGUUCUUCUGUGACGGUGGAGGCCCAGGUGUUCUUCUGUGAUGGUGGAGGCCCAGGUGUUCUUCUGUGACGGUGGAGGCCCGGGUGUUCUUCUGUGACCGUGGAGGCCCGGGUGUUCUUCUGUGACGGUGGAGGCCCGGGUGUUCUUCUGUGAUGGUGGAGGCCCGGGUGUUCUUCUGUGACGGUGGAGGCCCGGGUGUUCUUCUGUGAUGGUGGUGUGCCGGGUGUUCUUCUGUGAGCACAAGGCUU
Long non-coding RNA from Apodemus sylvaticus (European woodmouse), 902 nucleotides. RefSeq lists it as uncharacterized. NCBI's taxonomy places the organism in Eukaryota, Metazoa, Chordata, Mammalia, Rodentia, Muridae. The record is from RefSeq and is a predicted model, not a curated record. The transcript is spliced from 4 exons.